CUACGGGAGGCAGCAGUGGGGAAUUUUGGACAAUGGGGGCAACCCUGAUCCAGCCAUGCCGCGUGCAGGAUGAAGGCCUUCGGGUUGUAAACUGCUUUUGUUAGGAACGAAAAGCCAUUGAAUAACACUCAAUGGUGCUGACGGUACCUAAAGAAUAAGCACCGGCUAACUACGUGCCUGCAGCCGCGGUAAUACGUAGGGUGCAAGCGUUAAUCGGAAUUACUGGGCGUAAAGCGUGCGCAGGCGGUUAAGUAAGUUAGAUGUGAAAUCCCCGGGCUCAACCUGGGAACUGCAUUUAAAACUGCUUAGCUAGAGUGUGUCAGAGGGGGGUAGAAUUCCACGUGUAGCAGUGAAAUGCGUAGAGAUGUGGAGGAAUACCAAUGGCGAAGGCAACCCCCUGGGAUAACACUGACGCUCAUGUACGAAAGCGUGGGGAGCAAACAGGAUUAGAAACCCGAGUAGUCCC
Molecule: ribosomal RNA, 466 nt
Filed under: uncultured bacterium
Lineage: Bacteria
Description: bacterial SSU rRNA
Rfam family: Bacterial small subunit ribosomal RNA
Source: RNAcentral